UGACAGCGCUGCCGAUUUCCAAUUUUGUCGAGAAAAAUUGUGCACAUCAUCUGUACAUAUACAUAACACAUUCUGCUCAGUCCAUAAUUUACAACAAACAAUUGGCCUAAUUACUUAACAGGGGUGUAAAUACAUAGUUGAUUCCUUGUACUCAAAGAAGGAAAACCUAUGCAAACUAGUGACAAACGAACCCAACCCCCCUUCAAUUCCCAGAACCACCUGCCCCAACUUUCUCAUCACUCCUGACAGAAAGAACAAAUAUUUACUCCCCCCAAAAAUGUACAUCCAGCAAACAGCAAAUUUGUAUAACCACUAUAACUUUUUCUGCUACCCGUAAUCCUUUCCAAAUGUAUCUCUGUAAAAAAUCAAUCUUUCAAAUCAUUAUUUGUUCUUGAAGAAGUUGAGAUCCCAACGACGCCACAAACCAUCCAUGACAUUACUUGUUGGAUUCUUUACAACAGUCACAGUAGCUUUAGUACCAUCAACCGUGUCAACACUGGACGAACUUUGAUUGCUGACGGACUUCUCACGAUGAGAAGUUCCAUUGCAUUCCACUUCUUUCGCUGAUGAAGUACUAUUAGCUGGAGUUACUGAUACUUUUUUAGUAUCUGGAACUUGGACUUUGGCGUCUGAAUUUUGCUCAUUAAAAACUAUGGCACUAGCACUAAUUUCUUUUGAGGGUGUACAUUGCUUUGCAGUAGACAACUCCUCUCUAGCGCCCUGCAGGGGUUGAGGAAGUUCUAUGACAUCAUCUGAGGACGCUUGUUCAGCCGGAGGAGGUUUAACCUCCAGGUCCUUUAAAGAUUCGAGUACUGCUUUCAUUAACAUCUGAUUUUUUUUCACCAGUCAAAAUGUCAAAGCUGAGGAAUAAUACUGAAGCCAAUACUAAAGUGACGCAUUUCUGUAAAAUUCAACAUACUUACCCUUUCUUCUUCAUCUACAUUACUAGGAAAAUCUGCCAUAUUAUCAAGUGGGUAUUCAACAUAGUCAUCAUCAUCUAUUGAUGCAGGAACAUUGGGACCAAAUGGAUCACCAUUGGAAAGUUCAAAGCUGAUCAUUUUUGAAGAUGAUGGGGCAGAGUAGGUUCCAGUACCUUCUUCCUGGUCUGCAGUUUGGUUAUCCUGAGCAGAUAUGUCAGAAGGGACCUCUAUCCGACUCAUGGGUCUUUUGGAGCGAACCUGCUUUAUUACAUCUUCGGUGCUACUAGUUGGUGCAGCUGCAACAUCAUGGACAUCAUCCAUAUAGUCCAGUUCAUGGACUGUACUCCAACUGCCCUUGCCAAAAUAAUCUUGUGGCAUGUCAAAGAAUGCAGCACCAGCUUCAUCCAUUGGUGGUUGCAAAACAUUGUUGAAGAAGAUACUUAUAGAAUCAAAAUAAAACUGUGGGCGCGGAGAGUUGUGAUCACCCUCAAAUUUUAUAAUAUUCUUGUCUCCCAUGUAAGCAUCAAAUACACGAUCUGAAUGAUGGGGCUGUAUAAAAUCAUCAUCAACACCAUGACCCAGUAAAACAGGAACAAAGCAUGACUUUGCAACCUUAAUUGUGUUCAACUCAGCUAUGUCAAACUUUGCCUUUUUUAAAACAGCUCUGCGCAUAUAUUGGAUUGCAAAUUUCACGGUGAACUUGGGUAGCCGUAUUUUGUAAGUGUCUACAAGUUCGGUCAUCAAAUCAACCAAAUCAGAGAAGGGACUGUCUAAAACCAUUCCAGCAAUGGAUGGAUCCUCAGCACCGUACAUGAGGCUAGUAACAGCACCCAUUGAACGGCCCCACAAGCCAAUCAAAGAAACAUUGCCAUCUGUCCGCAGAUAUUCAACCACAGCUCUGAGAUCGUCCUUUUCAUUCCACCCCAACGUAACGUGCUCUCCUCCAGAAAGUCCAGAUCCAGAAAAGUCAAGGGUGAAAACAGUGAUGUUUGAUGGCAAUAAUAUAAUAGCAGCUUCACUGGCAUCUGCUCUACACCCGCUGUUCCCAUGACAGUAUAUCACACAAGGUAGCAGCUUUCCUUCUGGACGAAUAAGAGGCAUAUAAUGGCUACAUUUAAGAAAAUCAUCCCUACUAUUUUUAACCUCCAGAUCCUUCCUUUGGUACCAUUUCCCUUUAAGCAUGAA
This 2105-nucleotide unclassified non-coding RNA is filed under the name Hevea brasiliensis (rubber tree). The record is from RNAcentral. Lineage: Eukaryota; Viridiplantae; Streptophyta; Magnoliopsida; Malpighiales; Euphorbiaceae.